GUAACGCGUGAGUAACCUCGUCCCUUUGGGAGGGGGACAACAUUACCGAAAGGAAUGCUAAUACCGCAUAACAUAUAUUUAAGGCAUCUUAGAUAUAUCAAAGAUUUAUCGCCAAAGGAUGGACUCGCGUCUGAUUAGUUAGUUGGUGAGGUAACGGCUCACCAAGACCGCGAUAGGUAGCCGACCUGAGAGGGUGAACGGCCACACUGGAACUGAGAAACGGACCAGACUCCUACGGGAGGCAGCAGUGGGGAAUAUUGGGCAAUGGAGGCAACUCUGACCCAGCAACGCCGCGUGAAGGAAGAAGGCCUUCGGGUUGUAAACUUUUGUUGUAGAGGACGAAGAAAGUGACUGUACUCUACGAGGAAGCCCCGGCUAACUAUGUG
RNAcentral lists this ribosomal RNA (386 nucleotides) under uncultured bacterium. Its description in RNAcentral is "bacterial SSU rRNA". It matches the Rfam family "Bacterial small subunit ribosomal RNA", at positions 110 to 507 of the family's 1533-position model. The record is from RNAcentral.